UAUAAUAGGUUUAAUGUUAUUUUUUGUGUGUAGUAUUAUUAAUAGAAGUAAUUUUAUGGUUUAUUGUUUUAGUAUAAUUUAUAGAAAUAAUUUUUUGUUUUAUAGUUUAUUUGUAUUGUGAAAGGGAAUUGAAAUAUUAGUGAAAUAAAAUUGUAUUAUUAAAGUAGUUUUAUAGUGUACCUUGUGUAUCAGGGUUUAUUAAUUAAUUAUUAUUUAUGUAGUAAUCCCGAUUUAAUAAGAGUUAAUAUAAUAUUUUAGUUGAUGUGUUAUAAUCAUUAAUUAUAUUAUUAUUGGUAGUGAAAUGUUAUUCGUUUGUUAAGGUAUCUGGUUUUCUAGGAAUUGAAUUUAAUUCAUUUAUUAUUUGUGUAAGUUUUUAUUAUUUAAAAAUUUUAUAAAUUAUAAAAGUGAUAUGGGGGAUAAGCUCUGUGUUAUUGGCUAUAAAAAUUAUUUAAUAUAAAAAUGUGUAGGCUUUAAAUUAGCCUUCUAUUUGAGUAUGUUAUAAUUUAUUUUUUAUAUAAGGGAGAUGAUUUUAUAUAAGAUUUAGUUUUUCUAUUAGAAUAAUUUAUAUAAUUAUUAAGUUUUUGUAAUAAUGAUAGAAUUAGUAUAUAAUAUUAUGUUUGUAAAUUUUAUAAUAGUUAAAUUUAUUAUAAGGAAUUAGGCAAAUUAAUACUCGCCUGUUUAACAAAAACAUGUCUUUUUGAUUUUAAUUUAAAGUCUGGCCUGCCCACUGAAUUUAAUUUGAAGGGCCGCGGUAUUUUGACCGUGCAAAGGUAGCAUAAUCAUUAGUCUUUUAAUUGAAGGCUGGAAUGAAUGGUUUAACGAGGUAUUAACUGUCUCAUACUAAUUUAUGGAAUUUAACUUUUGAGUUAAAAGGCUUAAAUUUUGUUAUAGGACGAGAAGACCCUAUAGAGCUUAAAGUUUAGAUUUAAUUUUCUUUUGGGUGUUUUAUGAAAUUUAUGAGUAUAAAUUUUUAGUUGGGGUGACGUAAAGAUUAAUAUAACUCUUUUUAUAUUUAAACAUUAAUUUAUGGUUUAUUGAUCCAUCAAUGGUGAUUAAAAGAUAAAGUUACCUUAGGGAUAACAGCGUAAUGUUUUUUGAGAGUUCUUAUCGACGAAAAAGAUUGCGACCUCGAUGUUGGAUUAAGGUAUAUAAUUGGGUGUAGAAGUUCAAUUUAUAGGUCUGUUCGACCUUUAAAUCCUUACAUGAUCUGAGUUCAGACCGGCGUGAGCCAGGUCGGUUUCUAUCCUUAAUAUUAGUUAUAAUAUUUUAGUACGAAAGGACCAAAUAUUUGGAAUAUUAAUUCUUUUUCAUUGGAUUUUAUUAAUAAGG
RNAcentral lists this ribosomal RNA (1329 nucleotides) under Cyphoderris monstrosa. RNAcentral's name for it is "16S ribosomal RNA". The stretch from base 884 to 1252 matches the Rfam family "Bacterial large subunit ribosomal RNA", at positions 2071 to 2649 of the family's 2925-position model. The record is from RNAcentral. Lineage: Eukaryota; Metazoa; Arthropoda; Insecta; Orthoptera; Prophalangopsidae.